This 222-nucleotide unclassified non-coding RNA is filed under the name Pseudomonas benzenivorans. RNAcentral's name for it is "Pseudomonas sRNA P29". Lineage: Bacteria; Pseudomonadati; Pseudomonadota; Gammaproteobacteria; Pseudomonadales; Pseudomonadaceae. The record is from RNAcentral.
AAGCUACUGGGGGAGCCUAGGCUCCCCCCCAAGUAGGUGCGUGCUUUGUUUUUAUUGUUAUGGCGAGCUUGUUGUUUUUGUUGAGUUGCUCGUUCCAUCAAGUCAGGGACUUCUGGAAAACCUCCCAAGCUGGGAGUCAAUAGCAAACGGAUUGCUUUGGAUGCUGACGCUGCCAUGAUCAUUUCGUGAUCCAACCAGUACGGGUUCUGCCUCGGGGCAGUU